Molecule: ribosomal RNA, 849 nt
Filed under: uncultured bacterium
Lineage: Bacteria
Description: bacterial SSU rRNA
Rfam family: Bacterial small subunit ribosomal RNA
Source: RNAcentral
GAACGGGUGAGUAACACGUGGGUGAUCUGCCCUGCACUUUGGGAUAAGCCUGGGAAACUGGGUCUAAUACCGAAUAGGACCACGCGCUUCAUGGUGUGUGGUGGAAAGCUUUUGCGGUGUGGGAUGGGCCCGCGGCCUAUCAGCUUGUUGGUGGGGUAAUGGCCUACCAAGGCGACGACGGGUAGCCGGCCUGAGAGGGUGACCGGCCACACUGGGACUGAGAUACGGCCCAGACUCCUACGGGAGGCAGCAGUGGGGAAUAUUGCACAAUGGGCGCAAGCCUGAUGCAGCGACGCCGCGUGAGGGAUGACGGCCUUCGGGUUGUAAACCUCUUUCAAUAGGGACGAAGCGCAAGUGACGGUACCUAUAGAAGAAGCACCGGCCAACUACGUGCCAGCAGCCGCGGUAAUACGUAGGGUGCGAGCGUUGUCCGGAAUUACUGGGCGUAAAGAGCUCGUAGGUGGUUUGUCGCGUUGUUCGUGAAAACUCACAGCUUAACUGUGGGCGUGCGGGCGAUACGGGCAGACUAGAGUACUGCAGGGGAGACUGGAAUUCCUGGUGUAGCGGUGGAAUGCGCAGAUAUCAGGAGGAACACCGGUGGCGAAGGCGGGUCUCUGGGCAGUAACUGACGCUGAGGAGCGAAAGCGUGGGGAGCGAACAGGAUUAGAUACCCUGGUAGUCCACGCCGUAAACGGUGGGUACUAGGUGUGGGUUCCUUCCUUGGGAUCCGUGCCGUAGCUAACGCAUUAAGUACCCCGCCUGGGGAGUACGGCCGCAAGGCUAAAACUCAAAGGAAUUGACGGGGGCCCGCACAAGCGGCGGAGCAUGUGGAUUAAUUCGAUGCAACGC